AAAGUUUCAAAAGUCAAGAGUUUCAUGUCUCUAACAACAACUAGAAAACUUCUCAUGUUCUUGAAGUACCUGAAUUACAAACUGGGCGGCAGCUUCAACGGAUUGGACAAUGAUGAUAAGGUUCACCACCACAUGAAUCAACAAAAAAACAAAAACCCAAUCGAAAAACCAAUUUUUCUUUUAUUAGAGCAAGGAAAAGGAUCAAGACAAAUUUGACCAAGUUGUCCUUAGGUUUUAACUAACCCAAAACCCAAUGCUAACUCUAAUUUUUUGCCUACCUAGGAAAUUGGAAAUAAACAAAUUAGGCAUGUUGCACUGAGCACACUUACGAAUGAAUUGUUUGGUGUUUAUUGUUAAUAAGUUUGAUUGACAAAAAUCAAUUCAAAUGAUUUAAAUAUUAUGUUUUACACUCUUUAUGUAACCACACUUUUUUCCAAUAAAAUGAUAAGAGUUUAAAACAUGGUUGAUCAAUGUUUGCUAUUAUCCAACACCUCAAAAGCACUUACCACAUCCUCUAAUCAUCUUAGAACACAAACAAUUUGGAAAAGAUUAGUGUCCAAGGGAAGAUUUGAAGAAUAUGAGUUAAGAGACAUAAUGAAAAAUUUGAUCCAGAAUUGCUAAUACACAAGUAUGCUAACAAUCGUUUUUGCAUAAAGUUUAGUUAGUAAUAUCCUCAUUGACUUAUUAUAUUUUAUCAUACAUAUCAAAUAAUCCAAACUAUGAUAAUUUAGAAUUUUUCAAAACUUCUAAUAGUAAAAACACCAUUUGGACCCUCCACUUUAAAAUUGACCCAUAAUACCAUGAAUGAUAGGGCCACUAUGACCAUUUUUUAAAACAUAUCAGAUUACCUACCACAUCAUAUGUGUCUAAUCAUUAUUUUUUAUGCUUAAUAUUGAAAUAUGUGUUAGUGACACAAACUGAUGUAUCCAAAUUGUUCAUGAUUGAAGAUUGUUAGAAGAGAUGAUAAGUGUUUUUUAGGUGAUGGAUGAUAGCAAACAUUGAUCAAUUAAAUUUUAAACUUUCAUCAUUUUAUUGAAAAAUGGAGUUGAAGCUUAAGAGUGUAAAACAUUAUAUUUAAAUUAAUUAGAUAGAUUUCUAAUAAUUCAAACUAAAGGUAACGGUUUCUACUAUACCCGUUUUUGUAGUGUUUUUUUUAUCAAUCAAACUUUGUUCACAUCUAUGAUUUUUUAGUUUUUUUUCCAAAUAAUUUUCAACCAUUUGAUGGGUUUUAAAACUCCAAUAUUUGAACCUUCUUUCCAAAUGAGGAGAAAUGUUAUAAGAGUUGAGUGAAGGACCCUCUUUGAGCUUCAUGUUUAUUACCAAAUUGGAAAUGUCUUUGCCUUGAGACAAAUCCUAUGGGUUUGAGCUGAAAAUCCAUUUUUGAAUGAGAAUUUUUUUUUUUUCCUAAAUGGGUGUAGACCCUCCAUUUUGUCCUCUUAACAGAUGUGACACUAAGUGUCUUCCCAUACUUCUCUUUUGACUCGUAGUCAUCUCUUGGCUACCUUUCGAGCUUAAUUUAGGCUCACUUAGACACACCUGGCCCAUUAGGCACUCCUGACCCAUUUAGGUACGCCUAGUCCUUUUAAGGCUUGCUUCAGCAUCCCUAAGUCAUUUGUAUGGCUUACGUGGUCUGCAUGAAUAUGCAUCACGUACUUAUAUCUAUUUAUCUUUUUAUUUAUUUAGUCAUUUCUUAUUCAUCUUUUAUAUAUGGUCAUUGUAUAUUUUUGUUACCAUUAUUUUUAUUAUUAUCAUCAUUAUUCUUAAUUUUGGUGGGAAAGUAAAAAGAGAGUGGGAGAAAAAGACUGGGGUGGGGUUUUUUAGAAAAUUAAAGAGUUUGGUGGAGAGGUGGAGAAGGGCCAUCGGGAAGGAGAUGUUAGAGAUUACGAGAGGAGAUUGAAGAGUUUUUUUUUUUUUUUUGGAAUGGAGCAAAGAGAGACAUGGGAGAUAUAAGAGGAAGUCUGUAGAAAAAAAAAACGUUUAGAAGGCAGAAGGAAUUUUCUGGAGAGAUGAAGAAGCAAAAAUAGAGGAGGGUAGUUCGUUUUGGGUUUGGCUAGUUUUUGGAAGAAGAUACAACUCACUUGAAGCAAAACAAUAUUGUUUGAGGAGACCUUUCUAGGUAUGGCAACUAUAAGCUUCUUGUUUUUUCAUUUAUUUGCUUCAUUCUCUAUUGAUUUCUAGGAAUAACUUGUUGAAUUAUAUGUAGAUGUUAUAAGUCAUAGGUUUGUUUUUGUUGAUUCUUGGAUUAUUGAUGAGCUUAUAUUUGCUGAUUCAUUUCUCACUUUGUUAGGUUGAUUAGAGAAUAACAUGACUCUGUCCCAAGCUUUGUUGUGUAGCAUCCGAAAGACUUGUUGUUAUUCUCAUUUCUGUGGGAUAUGCUCUGAUUGUUUCACUUGGUUUUCAAGCCCUUUGACAAGAUAAUGAAAUGUGGCUU
This 2431-nucleotide long non-coding RNA is filed under the name Vitis vinifera (wine grape). Its description in RNAcentral is "long non-coding RNA (VVIN_LNC006549)". The record is from RNAcentral. Lineage: Eukaryota; Viridiplantae; Streptophyta; Magnoliopsida; Vitales; Vitaceae.